Molecule: long non-coding RNA, 358 nt
Organism: Hermetia illucens (black soldier fly)
Lineage: Eukaryota; Metazoa; Arthropoda; Insecta; Diptera; Stratiomyidae
Exons: 2
Source: RefSeq, a predicted model, not a curated record
CCAAACAUUUUUCGGAUAGCCACAAACAGAUAGAAUACUGAAGUGAAUAAACUUACGUGACAAAUACCCUUCCUCCUAAUGGCAGUCAUCAAGUACAUUAUUUUUGUUGUGAUACUAGUGACCGUGUUGUGUGUUACGGUUAACUCUCAGUUUUUGUGCUCACAUUGCUCAACGGCGGAUGAUUGUGGCACUGGGAAAACCUGCCUUGGAAGGUUCGUGGAUCAACCCAAACGGCUAGUAAACUGCUGCGAAUUCCUAUAAAUUAUGUAUCUUAAUCUAAUUGUUAAUUGUUUAUAAUUGUAAGAUAUAAGUCAGUGUUAAUUAUGGGUGUCGAAAUAAUAAUUGUAAUCCUUACUAA